Molecule: ribosomal RNA, 492 nt
Filed under: uncultured bacterium
Lineage: Bacteria
Description: partial 16S ribosomal RNA
Rfam family: Bacterial small subunit ribosomal RNA
Source: RNAcentral
AGUGAACGCUGGCGGCAGGCCUAACACAUGCAAGUCGAACGGCAGCACAGUAAGAGCUUGCUCUUACGGGUGGCGAGUGGCGGACGGGUGAGGAAUACACCGGAAUCUACUUUUUCGUGGGGGAAAACGUAGGGAAACUUACGCUAAUACCGCAUACUACCUACGGGUGAAUGCAGGGGAUCUUCGCACCUUGCGCGACUGAAUGAGCCGAUGUCGGAUUAGCUAGUUGGCGGGGUAAAGGCCCACCAAGGCGACGAUCCGUAGCUGGUCUGAGAGGAUGAUCGGCCACACUGGAACGGAGACACGGUCCAGACUCCUACGGGAGGCAGCAGUGGGGAAUAUUGGACAAUGGGCGCAAGCCUGAUCCAGCCAUACCGCGUGGGUGAAGAAGGCCUUCGGGUUGUAAAGCCCUUUUGUUGGGAAAGAAAAGCAGCAGGUUAAUACCCCGAUGUUCUGACGGUACCCAAAGAAUAAGCACCGGCUAACUUCGUG